ACCCUCCAACAUGGCGGCGGCGGUAGAUUAGGGCCGCGGGUCGGAGCACUCACCGCCGCUGGGGACCCUGUCGGAAGCAACCGCCGCCGCCGCCUCUUUCAUCUCUUCUGGGGCAGGGGCCAGGGCCAGGGGUUCAACUAGAUAAAGCUUCACAAUCUCUGGAUCAAGAAAUUUUAUUAAAAGUUAAAACUGAAAUUGAAGAAGAGCUAAAAUCUCUGGACAAAGAAAUUUCUGAAGCCUUCACCAGCACAGGCUUUGACCGUCACACUUCUCCAGUGUUCAGCCCUGCCAAUCCAGAAAGCUCAAUGGAAGACUGCUUGGCCCAUCUUGGAGAAAAAGUGUCUCAGGAACUGAAAGAGCCUCUCCAUAAAGCAUUGCAAAUGCUCCUGAGCCAAACGAUGCUAAAAUACUUUAGCCUGGUAGACAAUCA
Molecule: small RNA, 430 nt
Filed under: Pongo abelii (Sumatran orangutan)
Lineage: Eukaryota; Metazoa; Chordata; Mammalia; Primates; Hominidae
Description: processed transcript
Source: RNAcentral